ACGUAGGGACCGAGCGUUGUUCGGAUUUACUGGGCGUAAAGGGCGCGUAGGCGGCAAUUCAAGUCAGCUGUGAAAUCUCCGGGCUUAACUCGGAACGGUCAGCUGAUACUGCUUUGCUAGAGUGCAGAAGGGGCAAUCGGAAUUCUCGGCGUAGCGGUGAAAUGCGCAGAUAUCAGGAGGAACACCGGUGGCGAAGGCGGAUCUCUGGGCCUUACCUGACGCUCAGGUGCGAAAGCUAGGGGAGCGAACAGGA
RNAcentral lists this ribosomal RNA (253 nucleotides) under uncultured prokaryote. RNAcentral describes it as "partial 16S ribosomal RNA". It matches the Rfam family "Bacterial small subunit ribosomal RNA", at positions 525 to 777 of the family's 1533-position model. The record is from RNAcentral.